GGAGGAAACCCAGUUCAGUCUAGAACAUACAACUAGGCAAGUUACCCCCUUGGUCUUAGCUCCUUGGGAGAGAAGAAAAGUGGGUGGGUUGGCCUACUGGGCCUCCUCUCUUGGAGAGGAGUGGAACUGAGAACCUGGUGGCUUUUGGGAGCAGGUGCAAAUCCCUUUCUGAAGACUCUUGGCUUUCUUUCCCCUGAGCCACUGGGUAAUCCUCCGCUGGUGUUGGGGUUCCUGAACCCCUACCUCUUGCCUCCUCAAGGCUGCCUUUGGGAUGGAUCUGCGUUCUGUGUCUGGCUGAGAAAUAGGGGUCUUUUCUGAGAUGACUCUUUACCUGGGAUUGUCAAAAUGCAUUUGUCUUUUGUAGAAGUCCCUUAGCAGAAAAGAGCUCUAAGAAAGUUCCCCUUCUGUGAGAUCAGAGGGCCAAGGAAUUUACUGUGCUUUCUUUCCUUUUACCCCUUCUUUCCUCUGCAGGGGAAGGCAGGAGACCACACCUGUGUUUGUAAUAUCACAGACAUGCUGGGAUCCGCAAAUGUGUCAUUAGCCCACCGGGUUGGCACGGAACAGCUGCAUCUGAAGCACUGGCCAUCGUUAGGAUCCACACGUGUGAAGCCAGCUCCAGAGCCCUUUGAUAAUGGGGCUACAUCCCUUCCCAGCAUCUGCUUGCUUCCACACAUGCAGGUGCCAUCUCUCUCCCAUCUCUCCUGAUUCCAGAUCAUCUGACCCUGAUUCCCCAAAUGGUGGUUGCUGGCGCUGCCUGUCUUUCUGCCAAUCAGGGACGAGAGGGAAAUGAAGAUACAUGGCACCGGAGUUACCUCCUCCCCCAGGUAUCAUGUAAGUCUCAGUGGCCCUGAAGACAAAAGCAUUGUUAAUGUUUGAAUCAAUGUUCUCGGCUCCUUUGAGAAUUGUCCCUGAUUACUGCCACCCGCACCGGUCUACCCUUUUCUCUGGUCAUCACACUGCUUAAGGUCUAUCAUGCUUCUUUUGGCCCUUCUCAUGAUUAUCCAAAUGUUUGUUUGCAGAUACCGGAAAUUUCCAGCGAGAUGGAAAGCUCUGCGAAAGCGGGGACCAUGCUUUAUACUUUUACUGUUCCCAGAGCUCCUUGCAUGUUGCUGAGUACAAAAUAGGUGCUUUGGUUAAUACUUCGGCAGGUAUUUAGUGAGUGCAUUCUCUUUGUAGACAUGGCUGUGUGACUUUGAACAAAUGAACUUACCCUGGUAGCCUCAGUUCCUUUACCUGUCAUGAGGGGAUAGAAAAGCUAGCCUUGGGGCCUCUGGGUGGCUCAGUCGGUUAGGCGUUUGACUCUUGGUUUCAGCUCAGGUCAUGAUCUCGUGGUUCGGAUCUCACAACGGGCUCUGGGCUGACGGUGUGGAGCCUGCUUGAGAUUCUCUCUCUUUCCUCUCUCUGCCCUUCCCACAUUUCUUGUCCUCAAAAUAAAUAAAAAAUAAAACUUAAAAAUAUACA
This 1461-nucleotide long non-coding RNA is filed under the name Felis catus (domestic cat). RNAcentral's name for it is "lncRNA (ENSFCAG00000049427.1)". Lineage: Eukaryota; Metazoa; Chordata; Mammalia; Carnivora; Felidae. The record is from RNAcentral.